AUUGAACGCUGGCGGCAUGCCUUACACAUGCAAGUCGAACGGUAACGGGCCUUCGGGUGCCGACGAGUGGCGAACGGGUGAGUAAUGCAUCGGAACGUACCUUUCAGUGGGGGAUAACGUAGCGAAAGUUACGCUAAUACCGCAUAUUCUGUGAGCAGGAAAGCAGGGGAUCGCAAGACCUUGCGCUGAUUGAGCGGCCGAUGUCAGAUUAGCUAGUUGGUGAGGUAAAGGCUCACCAAGGCGACGAUCUGUAGCGGGUCUGAGAGGAUGAUCCGCCACACUGGAACUGAGACACGGUCCAGACUCCUACGGGAGGCGGCAGUGGGGAAUUUUGGACAAUGGGGGCAACCCUGAUCCAGCCAUGCCGCGUGAGUGAAGAAGGCC
RNAcentral lists this ribosomal RNA (384 nucleotides) under uncultured bacterium. Its description in RNAcentral is "bacterial SSU rRNA". It matches the Rfam family "Bacterial small subunit ribosomal RNA", at positions 30 to 416 of the family's 1533-position model. The record is from RNAcentral.